Molecule: ribosomal RNA, 439 nt
Filed under: uncultured bacterium
Lineage: Bacteria
Description: partial 16S ribosomal RNA
Rfam family: Bacterial small subunit ribosomal RNA
Source: RNAcentral
CUACGGGCGGCAGCAGUGGGGAAUAUUGCACAAUGGGGGAAACCCUGAUGCAGCAACGCCGCGUGGAGGAUGACGCAUUUCGGUGUGUAAACUCCUUUUAUAUAGGAAGAUAAUGACGGUACUAUAUGAAUAAGCACCGGCUAACUCCGUGCCAGCAGCCGCGGUAAUACGGAGGGUGCAAGCGUUACUCGGAAUCACUGGGCGUAAAGCGCGCGACGGCGGCCCCUUAAGUUGGAUGUGAAAGCCUACGGCUUAACCGUAGAACUGCAUCCAAAACUGAGGGGCUAGAGUCUGGGAGGGGAAGAUGGAAUUAGUUGUGUAGGGGUAAAAUCCGUAGAGAUAACUAGGAAUACCAACAGCGAAGGCGAUCUUCUGGAACAGUACUGACGCUGAGGCGCGAAAGCGUGGGGAGCAAACAGGAUUAGAUACCCGAGUAGUC